This 333-nucleotide ribosomal RNA is filed under the name Escherichia coli. RNAcentral describes it as "bacterial SSU rRNA". It matches the Rfam family "Bacterial small subunit ribosomal RNA", at positions 1 to 330 of the family's 1533-position model. The record is from RNAcentral. Lineage: Bacteria; Pseudomonadati; Pseudomonadota; Gammaproteobacteria; Enterobacterales; Enterobacteriaceae.
AAAUUGAAGAGUUUGAUCAUGGCUCAGAUUGAACGCUGGCGGCAGGCCUAACACAUGCAAGUCGAACGGUAACAGRAAGCAGCUUGCUGCUUUGCUGACGAGUGGCGGACGGGUGAGUAAUGUCUGGGAAACUGCCYGAUGGAGGGGGAUAACUACUGGAAACGGUAGCUAAUACCGCAUAACGUCGCAAGACCAAAGAGGGGGACCUUMGGGCCUCUUGCCAUCGGAUGUGCCCAGAUGGGAUUAGCUAGUAGGUGGGGUAAAGGCUCACCUAGGCGACGAUCCCUAGCUGGUCUGAGAGGAUGACCAGCCACACUGGAACUGAGACACGGU